GACGAACGCUGGCGGCGUGCUUAACACAUGCAAGUCGAACGGAAAGGCCCUUCGGGGUACUCGAGUGGCGAACGGGUGAGUAACACGUGGGUGAUCUGCCCUGCACUUUGGGAUAAGCCUGGGAAACUGGGUCUAAUACCGGAUAGGACCACGGCAUUCAUGUGCUGUGGUGGAAAGCUUUUGCGGUGUGGGAUGGGCCCGCGGCCUAUCAGCUUGUUGGUGGGGUAAUGGCCUACCAAGGCGACGACGGGUAGCCGGCCUGAGAGGGUGACCGGCCACACUGGGACUGAGAUAUGGCCCAGACUCCUACGGGAGGCAGCAGUGGGGAAUAUUGCACAAUGGGCGCAAGCCUGAUGCAGCGACGCCGCGUGAGGGAUGACGGCCUUCGGGUUGUAAACCUCUUUCGCCAGGGACGAAGCGCAAGUGACGGUACCUGGAGAAGAAGGACCGGCCAACUACGUG
This 462-nucleotide ribosomal RNA is filed under the name uncultured bacterium. RNAcentral's name for it is "partial 16S ribosomal RNA". It matches the Rfam family "Bacterial small subunit ribosomal RNA", at positions 28 to 507 of the family's 1533-position model. The record is from RNAcentral.